CAUGAAGUCGGAAUUGCUAGUAAUCGCAGAUCAGCAUGCUGCGGUGAAUACGUUCCCGGGCCUUGUACACACCGCCCGUCACACCAUGGGAGUCGGUAACACCCGAAGUCGGUAGCCUAACCGUAAGGAGGGCGCCGCCGAAGGUGGGAUUGAUGACUGGGGUGAAGUCGUAACAAGGUAGC
RNAcentral lists this ribosomal RNA (182 nucleotides) under uncultured bacterium. RNAcentral's name for it is "partial 16S ribosomal RNA". It matches the Rfam family "Bacterial small subunit ribosomal RNA", at positions 1319 to 1500 of the family's 1533-position model. The record is from RNAcentral.